RNAcentral lists this ribosomal RNA (204 nucleotides) under uncultured Anoxybacillus sp. Its description in RNAcentral is "partial 16S ribosomal RNA". It matches the Rfam family "Bacterial small subunit ribosomal RNA", at positions 1180 to 1382 of the family's 1533-position model. The record is from RNAcentral. Lineage: Bacteria; Bacillati; Bacillota; Bacilli; Caryophanales; Anoxybacillaceae.
UGACGUCAAAUCAUCAUGCCCUUUAUGCCCUGGGCCACACACGUGCUACAAUGGCCGGUACAAAGGGUUGCGAACCCGCGAGGGGGAGCCAAUCCCAAAAAGCCGCUCUCAGUUCGGAUUGCAGGCUGCAACUCGCCUGCAUGAAGCCGGAAUCGCUAGUAAUCGCGGAUCAAGCAUGCCGCGGUGAAUACGUUCCCGGGCCUU